UCAUUCUUUUGGCAUGUCCACCAAGUUCUACGUGUAUUUUGGCCCAUUUCCUCCUGGCUAAAGAGCACUUUCACCUUCUGGAGAGCUCUGUGACUGCUUUGACCAAUACAAGACAGCAGGAGUGAAGGUGGACUCAGCUUUUAACUGGUUCCUGCAGUCCUGACCAGUCAUCAAGCAGCUACUCAGACAGAGAGGCCGCGUGGAGGAGGCUUGAGGCAUCAGUCGUGUGGUGAAGAAGCCAUCUUGGACCCCCAGCCCCGGCUCUUACCUAGAUGCAGCUGCACCAGCUGAGCCCAAUCAACCCGCAGAUCCCUGAGAGAUAAUGAUAAAUAGCUGUGCCUUUGCUCUCAGCCUACCCCUUCGUGCUCCACACCCCAGUGAUAGUGAGAGGAGUACCAGAAACGAAGGGAUGGAAGAAUAGCAGCUGGAGGAGAAGGAUGGAGCAGAAAACAGCGAGUUCAAGAAGGAUUGGGAGAGAAUUUUUGGUGAGGAGCUGAGAGCAAAGCAAGGAGAAAGAUGGUUUGAAGACACUCCAGAAUAUGAGGGAGGUAGAGAGUGAGAGGAAAAGGAGGAAGGGGGUUUUAAGAAACGAUCACUUAGGGGCUGGCCCGGUGGCUGGGUGGUUAAAUUCUCGCGCUCUGCUGCUGCGGCCUGGGGUUUUGCCAGUUCAGAUCCUGGGCGCAGACAUGGCACUGCUCAUCAAGCUAUGCUGAGGCAGCAUCCCACAUGCCACACUAGAAGGACCCAUAACUAAGAAUAUACAACUAUGUACUGGGGGGCUUUGGGGAGAAAAAGGAAAAAAAUAAAAUCUUAAAAAAAAAAGAAAUGGUGACUUAGUUUAAACUUAAAUUUGUCUGGUGGUUUCUUUGCACUGACACGGCACAGAGGCUAUGCCCAUGGGAGCCCAGCGUUAGGUUAC
This 919-nucleotide long non-coding RNA is filed under the name Equus caballus (horse). Its description in RNAcentral is "lncRNA (ENSECAG00000055927.1)". The record is from RNAcentral. Lineage: Eukaryota; Metazoa; Chordata; Mammalia; Perissodactyla; Equidae.